GUAGGUGGCAAGCGUUGUCCGGAAUUAUUGGGCGUAAAGCGCGCGCAGGCGGUUCUUUAAGUCUGAUGUGAAAGCCCACGGGCUCAACCGUGGAGGGUCAUUGGAAACUGGAGAACUUGAGUACAGAAGAGGAAAGCGGAAUUCCACGUGUAGCGGUGAAAUGCGUAGAGAUGUGGAGGAACACCAGUGGCGAAGGCGGCUUUCUGGUCUGUAACUGACGCUGAGGCGCGAAAGCGUGGGGAGCAAACAGGAUUAGAUACCCUGGUAGUCCACGCCGUAAACGAUGAGUGCUAAGUGUUAGGGGGUUUCCGCCCUUUAGUGCUGCAGCUAACGCAUUAAGCACUCCGCCUGGGGAGUACGGCCGCAAGGCUG
Molecule: ribosomal RNA, 372 nt
Filed under: uncultured organism
Description: partial 16S ribosomal RNA
Rfam family: Bacterial small subunit ribosomal RNA
Source: RNAcentral